GAAUUAAGGAGCAGUAUUCUAGUCGAAAAAACUUGUUAGGACGGUGAUGAAAUAAAGCACCAUCGGGCACACCUGUGAAGUUUCUUGUGUUUGCCUUGGUUGCCCAAACCGGGGCAUUUGCUGGAAGUUAAGAUUUAUGGGCGUGUUGUAACGGCAUAUAACGUGCGACCCAUUUAUCGUGGAGACCUAAAAGGUUGUGAAUCGUGCAUUAGCAUAACUACAUAACUAAUUAGGCUUGAACCUGCAAUGCGGAUUAUGAAUUUCUGUGUGCAGAGUAGCCUGCUUUGAGUGAAAACAGCGGAUUAGACAUCAGGGGUUUGAACUUUGGCCAAAGUUUAUAUCUUAUCGGUUUAUGAAACUCUAUUUGCAAAACAAGCUAAUAAUCAGGUUGAUUCGCUAAGGAAAACUUCUAGACUGUGAUUUUGGGGAUUAUAGUGCAAUCUAAGUGGUGAUUCAGUUUUUUAUCGGCGACGGUAAAAGUAAAUUCUUGAAUGGAAACGGCUUAUUCGGUGACGGUAAGUGAAUUUACGGGAAAUCCUACUGGACCUAAGUUGCAAGGUUUACUCAAAAUCAUUCCUUU
This 580-nucleotide small RNA is filed under the name human gut metagenome. The record is from RNAcentral.